RNAcentral lists this ribosomal RNA (497 nucleotides) under uncultured bacterium. Its description in RNAcentral is "partial 16S ribosomal RNA". It matches the Rfam family "Bacterial small subunit ribosomal RNA", at positions 28 to 507 of the family's 1533-position model. The record is from RNAcentral.
GAUGAACGCUGGCGGCGUGCCUAAUACAUGCAAGUCGAGCGAACAGACGAGGAGCUUGCUCCUCUGACGUUAGCGGCGGACGGGUGAGUAACACGUGGAUAACCUACCUAUAAGACUGGGAUAACUUCGGGAAACCGGAGCUAAUACCGGAUAAUAUAUUGAACCGCAUGGUUCAAUAGUGAAAGACGGUUUUGCUGUCACUUAUAGAUGGAUCCGCGCCGCAUUAGCUAGUUGGUAAGGUAACGGCUUACCAAGGCAACGAUGCGUAGCCGACCUGAGAGGGGGGUCGGCCACAAUGGAACUGAGAAACGGUCCAGACUCCUACGGGAGGCAGCAGUAGGGAAUCUUCCGCAAUGGGCGAAAGCCUGACGGAGCAACGCCGCGUGAGUGAUGAAGGUCUUCGGAUCGUAAAACUCUGUUAUUAGGGAAGAACAAAUGUGUAAGUAACUAUGCACGUCUUGACGGUACCUAAUCAGAAAGCCACGGCUAACUACGUG